GUGAAAGCAUAGACAUAAUAAUGGUAGCAUCUCUACACCAUUAUUUUCAGAUUAGAGAGAGAGAAAGAGAGUUCUCUCUUGGUCCAUUUUUCAGAAAUUAAAGGAAAGAAGAACACUUGCAUAAUUUCUUCUUUUCUUUCAUCUUUCUUCAUCUCUUGAUUCAUUUGGUGAAGAUCCUUAGAGGCCAUAUAUUUUUGUGGCUUUACUUGUUACAUCAAGGAGGAGAUUACAAGCACAAGAAGGAGUACAAGGAGUUCUUAAUUCAAGGUGCUUCAAGGUGGAGGAAACACACACAAGGAGAGAUCAAGGAGAGGAACUUUGGUGGUUCACUUGGAUCGGAUUAAAAUCACGCUCCAAGGGCAAUUCAAAAGUGCUCAUUGACUGUCUGCUCAACAAGAUGUUAACUCCUUGGAGAAUUAAGCUGUUUGUGCAGGACAUUCGUCUCUUGGCUGAUCAAUUUCAGUUCAUCCAGUUUAGGCAUAUUUUUCAAGAAGCUAAUUUUGUUGUAGAUAAGUUAGCUGACCUUGGGCCUGAUAUAAUUAAUCCUGGAGUAUGGUUUUCUUGUCUCCCCGUUUCUGUGUCCCCAGCGUUCCAUGUGGAUCAGUUGGGUGCGGGUUGUGUUUGUGGUUGUUCGUUGUAGUUUUUCUUUUCUUGUAUUAAAAAAAAAAAAAUCAUCUCUUAUCUACAGAACUAACAGAUAUCCAGUUUAGAAGAAUAUGUGAUGGAAAUUUGAAUACUACUUGAAUAUGGAGAAAUGAUUAUUAAAAUUUUUUAUACGCCUGGCGGCUAUUGCUGGUUCAGGGUGCAUUCUUA
Rosa rugosa (rugosa rose) is the source of this 813-nucleotide long non-coding RNA. RefSeq lists it as uncharacterized. The record is from RefSeq and is a predicted model, not a curated record. Lineage: Eukaryota; Viridiplantae; Streptophyta; Magnoliopsida; Rosales; Rosaceae. The transcript has 2 exons.